UAGCAUCCUUUACUUCCCAGGCAGCUC
RNAcentral lists this non-coding RNA (27 nucleotides) under Bombyx mori (domestic silkworm). The record is from RNAcentral. Lineage: Eukaryota; Metazoa; Arthropoda; Insecta; Lepidoptera; Bombycidae.